UGUAGCUCAGAAGUACAGCACAUGCUUAGCAUACAUGAGAUCCUAGGUUCAAUCCCUAGCA
RNAcentral lists this transfer RNA (61 nucleotides) under Heterocephalus glaber (naked mole-rat). It matches the Rfam family "tRNA", at positions 6 to 65 of the family's 71-position model. Rfam says of the family: Transfer RNA (tRNA) molecules are approximately 80 nucleotides in length. The record is from Rfam by way of RNAcentral. Lineage: Eukaryota; Metazoa; Chordata; Mammalia; Rodentia; Bathyergidae.